Molecule: ribosomal RNA, 194 nt
Filed under: uncultured bacterium B4
Lineage: Bacteria
Description: partial 16S ribosomal RNA
Rfam family: Bacterial small subunit ribosomal RNA
Source: RNAcentral
CCUACGGGAGGCAGCAGUGGGGAAUAUUGGACAAUGGGCGAAAGCCUGAUCCAGCCAUGCCGCGUGUGUGAAGAAGGUCUUCGGAUUGUAAAGCACUUUAAGUUGGGAGGAAGGGCAGUAAGUUAAUACCUUGCUGUUUUGACGUUACUCGCAGAAUAAGCACCGGCUAACUCUGUGCCAGCAGCCGCGGUAAU